GCCGAAGUGGCGAAAUCGGUAGACGCAGUUGAUUCAAAAUCAACCGCCCUUUGGGUGUGCCGGUUCAAGUCCGGCCUUCGGCA
The sequence is a transfer RNA, 83 nucleotides long. It matches the Rfam family "tRNA". From Rfam's summary of the family: Transfer RNA (tRNA) molecules are approximately 80 nucleotides in length. Their secondary structure includes four short double-helical elements and three loops (D, anti-codon, and T loops). The record is from Rfam.